UACGAAGGGGGCUAGCGUUGCUCGGAAUCACUGGGCGUAAAGCGCACGUAGGCGGAUUGUUAAGUUAGGGGUGAAAUCCCAGGGCUCAACCCUGGAACUGCCUUUAAUACUGGCAAUCUCGAGUCCGAGAGAGGUGAGUGGAAUUCCGAGUGUAGAGGUGAAAUUCGUAGAUAUUCGGAGGAACACCAGUGGCGAAGGCGGCCCCCUGGACCGGUACUGACGCUGAGGCGCGAAAGCGUGGGUAGCAAACGGG
RNAcentral lists this ribosomal RNA (253 nucleotides) under uncultured bacterium. RNAcentral's name for it is "partial 16S ribosomal RNA". It matches the Rfam family "Bacterial small subunit ribosomal RNA", at positions 524 to 776 of the family's 1533-position model. The record is from RNAcentral.